AUCAUUCAUCUUUCAUGAAUAAACAUAAAACACAAAUGUUCAAGUUUCACCCCCUUAAUCUCUAGUUCUGCCACCAACUCCACAAUCCCACACUGUAUCAUCCACACAUGUUGUUAAAGAUUCUGACAUCAGACAAAAGAUGGCUUGAACAUGUGUUUAUAAGUAAGGGAAAUCCUCACCUCACAAGCCGGUUUUGUGGGGUUGAGUUGGGUUCAACCACAUUUAAAAAUCCAUUGGACCACCUGCUAUCAGGUCAAUGACAAUCUAAAUCAAACUCUCUCUGAAGCAAGCAAUGACAAUUUUCAAACGGCUAAAGACACAACGACUUUAUUCUAAGGUUUAUAUAAAAGGAAGUAAGCUUGGUUAAAGAGUAACAACAACUUCCAGUGAGAUAAAAAGAUAACAUGAAAAUAUUCAAAAAAUCAGAUUAAGCUCCGCUACUACUUUCUACUUUGAAGAAAUUAUAAAUCCUCUUAAGUGUCAUUAGCUUAUAUUACACAUGUAAUAUUUACUUUAUUGUAGUUUACCUCUUUCUGAGUUGUUGUAAAUAUCACCAUGUUAUUCUUACCCUAAGUCCUCGAGUUAAUGGCAAGGAAGUCCUCGAGUUUUUGACAAGGAAAUCCCGAGUUUGGCUAGGUA
Molecule: long non-coding RNA, 639 nt
Filed under: Medicago truncatula (barrel medic)
Lineage: Eukaryota; Viridiplantae; Streptophyta; Magnoliopsida; Fabales; Fabaceae
Description: long non-coding RNA (MTRU_LNC003336)
Source: RNAcentral